This 601-nucleotide unclassified non-coding RNA is filed under the name Zea mays. RNAcentral's name for it is "misc RNA Zm00001eb372090". The record is from RNAcentral. Lineage: Eukaryota; Viridiplantae; Streptophyta; Magnoliopsida; Poales; Poaceae.
CCCUUCUUCGACUCUCUCCCUUCUUGUCCAUGUAGGUACGUUCCCCUCUCUCUCUCUCCCUUCUUCGACUUCGAUCGCGCUCGGGCACGCCGCCGCCGCCGUGCACGCGCCGCCGCCGCGCGCGUGUAAAAACCCUAGGGCGCGCGUCUCUGCAGAGAGUGAGAGAGAGGGAGAGGAGAGGAGAGAGGGAAAGGGAAGAGAGAGGAGGGAGAGGGAAGAGAGAGGAGAGGAGAGAGGGAAAGGGAAGAGAGAGGAAAGAGAGAGGAGGGAGGGAGAGAGAGAGAAGAGAGAGGAGGGAGAGGGAAGAGAGAGAGGGAGGAGAAGAGAGAGGAGAGGAGGGAGGGAAAGGGAAGAGAGGAGUAGAUCACCAACAUCUCCGACGAUGAAGAUGAGGAGAUCGAUUGGACGACACUGAUAGACGACGAGGAGUAGAAAAGUAGAAAAGUAGAUCACCAACAUCUACGUCCUAUACGACUCUCCCUCUCUAUACGUAACUCGAUAAUAUUCGUAUCACAAUAUUAGGGGUUAGGGUUAGGGCUUAGGGUUAGUGUUAGUGUUUAAGGGUUAGGGUAUUUGUUAAUAUGAAUUUAAUUAUUGCUUA